CCUACGGGCGACAGCAGUGGGGAAUAUUGCACAAUGGGGGAAACCCUGAUGCAGCAACGCCGCGUGAAGGAAGACGGUUUUCGGAUUGUAAACUUCUAUCAAUAGGGAAGAAAGAAAUGACGGUACCUAAAUAAGAAGCCCCGGCUAACUACGGGCCAGCAGCCGCUGCAAUACGUAGGGGGCAAGCGUUCUCCGGAAUUACUGGGUGUAAAGGGAGAGUAGGCGGCAAGGUAAACGAUAUGUGAAAGCCUUACGCUUAACUUAAGGAUGGCAUAACGAACUAUCUAGCUAGGGUACAGGAGAGGAAAGCGGAAUGCGUAGUGUAGCGGUGAAAUGCGUAGAUAUUAGGAAGAACACCAGUGGCGAAGGCAGCUUUCUGGACUGAAACUGACGCUGAGGCUCGAAAGCGUGGGGAGCGAACAGGAUUAGAUACCCGGGUAGUC
RNAcentral lists this ribosomal RNA (443 nucleotides) under uncultured bacterium. RNAcentral's name for it is "partial 16S ribosomal RNA". It matches the Rfam family "Bacterial small subunit ribosomal RNA", at positions 338 to 795 of the family's 1533-position model. The record is from RNAcentral.